This 403-nucleotide ribosomal RNA is filed under the name Edaphobacter dinghuensis. RNAcentral's name for it is "bacterial SSU rRNA". It matches the Rfam family "Bacterial small subunit ribosomal RNA", at positions 355 to 774 of the family's 1533-position model. Lineage: Bacteria; Pseudomonadati; Acidobacteriota; Terriglobia; Terriglobales; Acidobacteriaceae. The record is from RNAcentral.
UGGGGAAUUUUGCGCAAUGGGGGAAACCCUGACGCAGCAACGCCGCGUGGAGGAUGAAAUCCCUUGGGAUGUAAACUCCUUUCGAUAGGGAAGAUAAUGACGGUACCUAUAGAAGAAGCCCCGGCUAACUUCGUGCCAGCAGCCGCGGUAAUACGAGGGGGGCAAGCGUUGUUCGGAUUUAUUGGGCGUAANNNNGUGCGUAGGCGGUUUGGCACCUCUUGUGUGAANNCUUUGGGCUCAACCCAAAGUCUGCAUAAGAAACUGCCGGGCUUGAGUAUGGGAGAGGUGAGUGGAAUUUCCGGUGUAGCGGUGAAAUGCGUAGAUAUCGGAAGGAACACCUGUGGCGAAAGCGGCUCACUGGACCAUUACUGACGCUGAGGCACGAAAGCUAGGGGAGCNNACA